AUUGAACGCUGGCGGAAUGCUUUACACAUGCAAGUCGAACGGCAGCACGGGGGCAACCCUGGUGGCGAGUGGCGAACGGGUGAGUAAUACAUCGGAACGUGCCCGGUCGGGGGGGAUAACGUAGCGAAAGUUACGCUAAUACCGCAUACGAUCUGAGGAUGAAAGCGGGGGACCUUCGGGCCUCGCGCGAUCGGAGCGGCCGAUGUCAGAUUAGGUAGUUGGUGGGGUAAAGGCCUACCAAGCCGACGAUCUGUAGCUGGUCUGAGAGGACGACCAGCCACGCUGGGACUGAGCCACGGCCCAGACUCCUACGGGAGGCAGCAGUGGGGAAUUUUGGACAAUGGGCGCAAGCCUGAUCCAGCCAUUCCGCGUGCAGGACGAAGGCCUUCGGGUUGUAAACUGCUUUUGUAUGGAACGAAAAGGCUCUGGCUAAUACCUGGGGCUCAUGACGGUACCGUAAGAAUAAGCACCGGCUAACUACGUG
Molecule: ribosomal RNA, 484 nt
Filed under: uncultured bacterium
Lineage: Bacteria
Description: partial 16S ribosomal RNA
Rfam family: Bacterial small subunit ribosomal RNA
Source: RNAcentral